AACGAACGCUGGCGGCAGGCUUAACACAUGCAAGUCGAACGCCCUAGCAAUAGGGAGUGGCGCACGGGUGAGUAACGCGUGGGCAUGUACCGUUUAGUGGGGGAUAACCAAGGGAAACUUUGGCUACUACCGCAUACGCCCUUCGGGGGCAAGAUUUAUCGCUAAACGAUCAGCCCGCGUGAGAUUAGGUAGUUGGUGGGGUAACGGACUAUCAAGCCGACGAUCGCUAGCUGGUCUGAGAGGAUGAUCAGCCACACUGGAACUGAGACACGGUCCAGACUCCUACGGGAGGCAGCAGUGGGGAAGAUUGGACAAUGGGGGUAACCCUGAUCCAGCCAUGCCGCGUGAGUGAUGAAGGCCUUAGGGUUGUAAAGCUCUUUUACCGAUGAAGAUAAUGACGGUAGUCGGAGAAAAAGCCCCGGCUAACUUCGUGCCAGCCGCCGCGGUAA
This 449-nucleotide ribosomal RNA is filed under the name uncultured bacterium. RNAcentral describes it as "partial 16S ribosomal RNA". It matches the Rfam family "Bacterial small subunit ribosomal RNA", at positions 29 to 523 of the family's 1533-position model. The record is from RNAcentral.